RNAcentral lists this ribosomal RNA (357 nucleotides) under uncultured prokaryote. RNAcentral describes it as "partial 16S ribosomal RNA". The record is from RNAcentral.
CCCUCUGGGGUGCAGCAGGCAGAUGAUGAGCCAUAUCCGUUUGCCAUUUACGGCAUUCCCAACUGGAAGGUCAAUCGCGAAAGCCCUGACCCGGGGCGAAAUGGGCAGAAGCACAUCUGGCGCAUCUAUGAUUAUCCGCACAUUGUGCUGCUUUAUCACCGGAUGUAUCAGGUGGCGCGGCUCCAUCCGGAGAUAAAAACCGAGCUCACGGCCGAGGAAUAUUUGCGGCGGGCUUAUCGCACGGCUAUAGCUUAUUUCACCGUGCCGCUCGAGGUCGAGGGCUGGUCAGCUUAUGAGACGCCGACUAUGAAUGAGAUUGUCAUGAAUGAUUUGCUGCGGGCGCUCGAGCGGGAGAGC